AGGCAAUAGGCAACCAGUUUCAGGCAGGAAGAAAAGCCAUUCACAUUUCAAUGUACACCUGUUUUUCGUGUGGACAAAAAGCAGUGUUCAUAAGUCGUGUGCUACCAAGUGGUCAGCAAGCAUGUUGGUUGCCUCCAAGGUCAAGUUCGAGCUACGGAUAAAGUCGACCAUUGGGCAAUUUUCCUGGUAGCCUUCCUUGAAUGCUAUUAGGUUUAUUAAACCAUGUAACAUUGACUAGUGGUUGACAAAAAAUGGUCGUCACUCGAACUUGCCAAUAAUGUUGCCUGUAAAAGUUGCAUCAUGUGACAAGGCUCUAACAUUCAUUCCACAAGCUUGAACCUUUUUUAUUUGUAUUUCCACAGUCUACCAAGAACCACUGUUCCCGAAGCGGAUGCUAUGGAAGGUGAUUUUGCAUUGCUGACAAGUCUGGGCUCACCGUAGAUGAUGAGAGUUUGCUGUCGUGUGCAGUGUUGACUAUAGCUGGAUCUGUUGCGAUGUGCAUCGGUGAAGAAAAACCUCAGACAUUCAACAACAGACAGCAAGUUUGAGACACUUUGAUGUUGAGGCUAAACAACGCUUUUUGGGACUGUGUCAACUCCAACCAAGAUACUCCACAAGGUCAACCUUCCAAGUGAGCUCAACUGGACCAUGAUGGCGCUCUACUGACUGCGUGAUGACACUCAUUGAGAAGACUAUCUAGGGGCCUUUUUCAAACCUCGGCUUGGGCUCCGGCUCUGGCUUCAGGCUCCGUUUGAUGUUCGAACCACAGUGCUCCAAAAACCCUAAAACAAAGCCAAUGGCAAGCCGGAGUCAGAGCCCGAGACAAGGUUUGGAAAAGGCCCUUAUUGUAAUGCUAAAACUAUAGUCCGAGUAGUUCAAUGAUUCCGUCAAAAUCCAAAGCCAUAUUGCAACUCGGAAUUCACUGCAUUAAAUGCAUCAGAAGUUGGCUGCAUGUGUAAAAACCUGGUUUUAUGAUGACAAUCUUGGCUGGCUUAAGCAUCAAAUUCUCCGUUGCAGUAUAUCGGUUUCUUUAGAUUUUGACGGAUUCAGUGUAGUUUUAAGAAUACAACUUAAGAGUUGGUACUUCAAGAUAGUCCCCCUGAUUCAAUCAAAAUCCAAAACCAAUUGCAACUCUAACAUUUCACAUCAGUUGGCUGCAAGAAAUGCGUACACCUGGUUUAUGAAGCCAAGCGGUGCUUGUUUUGGAAAUCAAUCAAUCAAUUCCCCACAUUCAAUUGCAAUAUACAUUUGGAUUUUGAUCAGUGAAGUUAAGAAAUUAAAAUAACUUUAAAGAUGAUACAGCUUUCCUAAAUACAAUGUAAAGAUCGGUGGAUGUUUUGUUUGAAAGCAUAAAAUAGACAGAAUGCAUGUUUGUUUGUUUUUUAAUAAAUGUUAUGCUUGAGUAGAAUCCGCAAUGCGAACCCUCACCCACAGCCACAUCACCAUAAUCUUUACACUAAUCCCAACUCAUUAAUCCUAACCCAAUUUACUUCACUUAUCAUAACUAAUUAAUCCUAACCAACUAACCACGCUCACCUUACCUUAUGCACUGACGUCAUAUUAGAAGUAAAACGGUCAUGACACUGUUGGUAAUGCUCCCAUUGUUCACUCUCGGCCAAUGAGCUGCAACUUUUAGCUGAGGGCGCCCUACUGGUAACAUGACGUCAUGCGCAUAAGAUCUAUUACACACCAACCCUUAACACAUUCACAGUUCAACCUGCGCGAUGUAUAAUAAAAUCAAUUACAUAUUUUUUUCUUAAACUUGCAUUUUGUCUGUAUAACUUAAUAUGCCAAAAGCAUUUCUUGAAUUUUUGCCACAUGGCAGCAGUAUCAUGUUCAUUGUGCGCGGUUUGCCAUUAAGACUCUAAUAGUUUUUGAAAUGUAACAUGAAUUAUUUUUUGUUUUAAAUAAGUUAAUGUAUAGUUUAAAUAAAUUGAUGAAUUAAAUCAUGAAAAUGUAAAAUGAUGUCACUGUUUAUACAUUUGUGUAAGAUACCCCCUAGCUCAGUCUUCACUAUAGGCUAAGGCGUAAGAUACCCCCAGCUCAGUCUUCACUAUAGGCCAAGGUCCCCGGUUUGCCAUUCUGGGAGUCGAAUUACAUGUUAAGAAUGGCGAGCGUGUAAAUGUGUCGCAUAAAAUGGCACACUCCACAUUAUCAUACAUGGUGAUACCGACUCCCAAAAUGGCACAACCAAGAUAAAUUCAAUGAUCGCUGAGAUCAAGUUAUCUAUUACUUUACUUUGCACUUUAAAGACAAAAUCUUUAUAUCACUUUUCUCUCAAUUUUUAUCCCAGGCCUCGGUUUGAAAAACCGAAGAUGAACCCGUGAAGAGUACACUUCUACUGCAUUUGGAAGUAAAGCGUGUGUAUGUCUAAAUGGUUAAAUUUGACAGUAAAUAUAAUGUUUACUUACUCAGUGAACUUAUUUUGUAUUGAUGCGUUUAUUAAUUCAGUGUUAAGAAAGUACAGAGAAAAUUGGUGGAGAAUAAUAAAGCUUAA
Asterias rubens (European starfish) is the source of this 2497-nucleotide long non-coding RNA. RefSeq lists it as uncharacterized. The record is from RefSeq and is a predicted model, not a curated record. The transcript has 3 exons. NCBI's taxonomy places the organism in Eukaryota, Metazoa, Echinodermata, Asteroidea, Forcipulatida, Asteriidae.